GCCUGCUCUCCCAGAGCCAGGAAUGGAUUUAUUAAAAAAAAAAAAAAAAAAGGUUUGAAAAAAUUCAAAGUCAACCACGCACGAUGGGUGAAAUAAUUGCUUCUUUAAAAGCUAUAUGCUGCCGCAAUUAUGUAUAUAAAUACAGAUUAGGGCACAGAGUAGAAAUAAAAAUACAGUUUCAAAUCUCAUAUAUGGGGAUUCACUUCCACCGCAUAUUCUACAGUACCCCAAAUAUUGAUGUAUCCUACACUAAUUCCAGUGGUAGAUAAUGCUAAUGCUGAAAGAGGCUAAUUUAAAUAAUAUGUUGUAAGAGCAUUGUAAAUAUAAUAAUGCAAAAUUAAUGUGAUGUUGCAAAGCCUGUAAUAUUCU
Non-coding RNA from Pelobates cultripes (western spadefoot toad), 369 nucleotides. The record is from the annotation of a GenBank genome assembly. Lineage: Eukaryota; Metazoa; Chordata; Amphibia; Anura; Pelobatidae.